CCUCCUUUCUAGAGAAAGAGAAGUAGAUUCAAGUCUUGAAUUUGUUUGGUUUUAGUGCUCACACUUAUCGGUUUGUUUAGACGCGAAGAUACAAGCAGCAAGAAGAGAGGGCCUUUAAGUGCGGAACGAAAGAACUGUCUAGAGGUCAGGGCCCUGGGGCUGAAAAGUUUACGGGGUCUGUAGCUCAGUUGGUUAGAGCACCGUCUUGAUAAGGCGGGGGUCGAUGGUUCGAGCCCAUCCAGACCCACCAUUGGUUUGAAGUUGUUGUAAAAACACCUGGGGGUGUGGCUCAGCUGGGAGAGCACCUGCUUUGCAAGCAGGGGGUCAUCGGUUCGAUCCCGUUCACCUCCACCANGUUUUAGUGCUGCAAGAAACGUGAAGUUUGUAUCGAGUGUUUGAAUAAAUGGUCUUUGAAUAAAAGAUUGGCUGUUAGCGGUUAGGCAAGGGAUGCAAGGGNUUUGCNUCGGUUUGCGGUCAAAAUGAAUAAGCCCGGUGGUGCGGAACACUGGGGGGGUUUUUUCAUUUUGGCUU
RNAcentral lists this transfer RNA (531 nucleotides) under uncultured Gammaproteobacteria bacterium. RNAcentral's name for it is "partial 16S-23S ribosomal RNA intergenic spacer". The stretch from base 174 to 247 matches the Rfam family "tRNA". The record is from RNAcentral. Lineage: Bacteria; Pseudomonadati; Pseudomonadota; Gammaproteobacteria.